CCGUGGGCGACUGCAAAUCUGAAAGAAGCUGGCGGCAAAUGUUCGGUCCUAAGGACAGGAAUUUCAUAUAAGGAGGGUAUGUGUGGGUGAUGUUGCAAAAGAAACUAAAGCCCUUUAAGAGUAAGAUUACGCUUAUGUUUAUGGAAAGAAUUGAAAAUGUGUAGUACACGGG
Anditalea andensis is the source of this 172-nucleotide non-coding RNA. The record is from Rfam. Lineage: Bacteria; Pseudomonadati; Bacteroidota; Cytophagia; Cytophagales; Cytophagaceae.